Molecule: ribosomal RNA, 468 nt
Filed under: uncultured bacterium
Lineage: Bacteria
Description: partial 16S ribosomal RNA
Rfam family: Bacterial small subunit ribosomal RNA
Source: RNAcentral
GACGAACGCUGGCGGCGUGCUUAACACAUGCAAGUCGAACGGAAAGGCCCUGCUUUUGUGGGGUGCUCGAGUGGCGAACGGGUGAGUAACACGUGAGUAACCUGCCCUUGACUUUGGGAUAACUUCAGGAAACUGGGGCUAAUACCGGAUAGGAGCUCCUGCUGCAUGGUGGGGGUUGGAAAGUUUCGGCGGUUGGGGAUGGACUCGCGGCUUAUCAGCUUGUUGGUGGGGUAGUGGCUUACCAAGGCCUUGACGGGUAGCCGGCCUGAGAGGGUGACCGGCCACAUUGGGACUGAGAUACGGCCCAGACUCGUACGGGAGGCAGCAGUGGGGAGUAUUACACAGUAGGCGGAAGCCAGAUGCAACAACGCCGCGUGCGGGAUGAGGGCCUUCGGGUAGUGAACCGCUUUCGCCUGUGACGGGGCGUGAAUGACGGUAAUGGGUAAAGAAGCACCGGCUAACUACGUG